Molecule: long non-coding RNA, 1697 nt
Organism: Mus musculus (house mouse)
Lineage: Eukaryota; Metazoa; Chordata; Mammalia; Rodentia; Muridae
Product: RIKEN cDNA 4933431K14 gene
Exons: 1
Source: RefSeq, marked validated
AGAACAGACCCCAGUCCACUUCCACCCAGCAGCGAAUGCUCAGAGCAAGACCUGCUUCUGCAAACUCAGCAAGGCCCGCGGGAACUCAAACUUUGUAAACUCCACCAAGGGUUUAGGGGACAUGGGAGCCUCUAGGAAGGGAUCCAAGGGAGGUGACACCAGUCAACCCUCGGAACCAGAAAAGCAUCGUCGCUGGAGGGCGUGUCGGGCAGCUUGGCGACGUAGCACUUGGCGGGACAAGGCCAUUCAUUAGCUGGCAGGGGCGGCGGGGCUGCGCUGCCAGGCCACCCGCCCGUGCCACGCGGCGCGAAGCUCGGCAGCCGCCCCCUCCGCGAGUUCCCUCCCCGGGCCCCGCUCCCCUGCCGGGCUGGCAGGACGCCUUCGCCGUCGCCCUCACCAGUCGCUAGAUGAAGGUGCGCCGGCGGUCUCCGCGGGGCAGGCGCGCGGCCGCGCAGGGACUCAUCCUUAGUGAAAGCUACCGGGGACAACGAAGGGAGCCAGGAGCCGGGACGCCCGAGUCAGCUCCGGGGACGGCUGCACGGAAAGCGACAGCCGCGACUGUCGGCGCCGGGACCGGGUUCGGGGAAACCUGAGCUAGAGCGGGCGGGACUCGGGAAUAAGACGGGCGCUGAUUGGCCGGAGUUCGUGUAUGCCCCACAGUGAUUGGUCGGGGCCUGCCCACAAGGCCUAGCGUGGCAGUACCUCAGCUGUGGCCUUUCCCUAGUAUCCCAAAGGAGCAUGACCCCUGCCGGCCUUGGUGCGGUCGACACUGGCUGCCGCCCUACACUCAGAACCAGUACUGCCCCUCUUGGUGCCAGAUGUCACCCUAGGAGAUCUGUCUCCCCGCAGGUCGACACUCGGAAAGGAGGUUAAGGCUGGGAUGGAGGAAACAAGGAACUGGCUGGAUGCCCAAGCACCACUCCGUAGAAACGUGGGCAUCUUAGAAAAGUUGCUUCCCGGAUCACUCGUAGUGGGAUAACUGGAAAACCAGAGGUGUCCUCUCCCCAAGACUGGGCCCUGCUGCUCUGUGCCCCGCCUGUUGUGCCCGGAUUGUCUGAGUGUCACUCUCUUUUUGUCAGAAGGCGCCAUAGAUUUUUCAGAUCGCCACUGUGCGACCAGCUGCUGACUUGGGUCACAUCUGUCUGCCUGACGCCAGGCUUACAAUAGGUUUUCCUCCCUGAACUCUUAAAUCUACAAGCCAUUUUAAAGGUUGCAAAUUGUGUGCCAAUAAUCAGUCCAGAACGGAAAACAUACUCCUGCUGAAGUCUGAUACAGAGGCGCCUUAGUAAACAUGUGUUCAGGGAGGAGUAGCAUGACUCAGAGAAAAACAGCACUUGGAGCCCAGAGUUGUUUGAACCUCGGCCCUGUUUGUGUUGCUGUAUGAGCCACUGACACCAUCAUCUAUUAAACGGAGUUAAACUCAAUACCCUCUUAGACUGCUUCAGCCCAAUUGCCUGUUUUGUAGACUUUGUAGGAAAGUAAGUUGCUAGAUCAAACUGAAGGAGAGAUGGAAACAGACCUAGCUCCCCAGCUCUCCUCCCAGUGCAAGGACUUAAUUUGCUUUCUUACUUCCUACUCUGACCCAUUCUGUAAUGUAUAAACAGUGACUUGGAAGGAAGCUGUGUACACACUCAUGAACAAAGACGCUCAGUGAUCUGGAAGCUAGUGAUGUAAAUAAAUGUGUUGCCCUGAGUUCA